UAGUCCACGCCGUAAACGAUGAUUACUCGCUGUAGGCGAUACACAGUCUGUGGCUAAGCGAAAGUUUUAAGUAAUCCACCUGGGGAGUACGAUCGCAAGAUUGAAACUCAAAGGAAUUGACGGGGGCCCGCACAAGCGGAGGAACAUGUGGUUUAAUUCGAUGAUACGCGAGGAACCUUACCUAGGCUCGAACGCUAUGUGCCGAACUCUGAAAGGAGUUUUCUCUUCGGAGCGGAUAGUGAGGUGCUGCAUGGUUGUCGUCAGCUCGUGCCGUGAGGUGUUGGGUUAAGUCCCGCAACGAGCGCAACCCUUGUCUUUAGUUGCCAGCAUGUAAUGAUGGGGACUCUAAAGAGACUGCCUCCGUAAGGAGUGAGGAAGGUGGGGAUGACGUCAAAUCAUCAUGGCCUUUAUGCCUAGGGCUACACACGUGCUACAAUGGUAAAUACAGAGGGCAGCGAACCUGCGAGGGGGAGCCAAUCUCAGAAAAUUUGUCUCAGUUCGGAUCGGA
Molecule: ribosomal RNA, 508 nt
Filed under: uncultured bacterium
Lineage: Bacteria
Description: bacterial SSU rRNA
Rfam family: Bacterial small subunit ribosomal RNA
Source: RNAcentral